GAUGAACGCUGGCGGCGUGCCUAAUACAUGCCAGUCGAGCGAACAGAUGAGGAGCUUGCUCCUCUGACGUUAGCGGCGGACGGGUGAGUAACACGUGGAUAACCUACCUAUAAGACUGGGAUAACUUCGGGAAACCGGAGCUAAUACCGGAUAAUAUAUUGAACCGCAUGGUUCAAUAGUGAAAGACGGGUUUGCUGUCACUUAUAGAUGUAUCCGCGCCUCAUUAGCUAGUUGGUAAGGUAACGGCUUACCAAGGCAACGAUGCGUAGCCGACCUGAGAGGGUGAUGGGCCACACUGGAACUGAGACACGGUACAGAGUCCUAGGGGAGGCAGCGGUAGGGAAUCUUCGGAAAAGGGCGAAAGCCUGACGGAGCAACGGCGCGUGAGUGAUGAAGGUCUUCGGAUCGUAAAACUCUGUUCUUAGGGAAGACCAAAUGUGUAAGUAACUAUGCACGUCUUGACGGUACCUAAUAAGAAAGCAACGGCUAACUACGUG
This 497-nucleotide ribosomal RNA is filed under the name uncultured bacterium. Its description in RNAcentral is "partial 16S ribosomal RNA". It matches the Rfam family "Bacterial small subunit ribosomal RNA", at positions 28 to 507 of the family's 1533-position model. The record is from RNAcentral.